GAGUUUGAUCCUGGCUCAGGAUGAACGCUGGCGGCGUGCUUAACACAUGCAGGUCGAACGAAGCGCCUUAUUUGAUUUUCUUCGGAACUGAAGAUUUGGUGACUGAGUGGCGGACGGGUGAGUAACGCGUGGGUAACCUGCCCUGUACAGGGGGAUAACAAUCAGAAAUGACUGCUAAUACCGCAUAAGACCACAGCACCGCAUGGUGCAGGGGUAAAAACUCCGGUGGUACAGGAUGGACCCGCGUCUGAUUAGCUGGUUGGUGAGGUAACGGCUCACCAAGGCGACGAUCAGUAGCCGGCUUGAGAGAGUGAACGGCCACAUUGGGACUGAGACACGGCCCAAACUCCUACGGGAGGCAGCAGUGGGGAAUAUUGCACAAUGGGGGAAACCCUGAUGCAGCAACGCCGCGUGAGUGAAGAAGUAUUUCGGUAUGUAAAGCUCUAUCAGCAGGGGAGAAAGUGACGGUACCUGACUAAGAAGCCCCGGCUAACUACGUGCCAGCAGCCGCCGUAAUACC
This 520-nucleotide ribosomal RNA is filed under the name uncultured microorganism. Its description in RNAcentral is "bacterial SSU rRNA". It matches the Rfam family "Bacterial small subunit ribosomal RNA", at positions 9 to 527 of the family's 1533-position model. The record is from RNAcentral.